Molecule: ribosomal RNA, 402 nt
Filed under: uncultured bacterium
Lineage: Bacteria
Description: bacterial SSU rRNA
Rfam family: Bacterial small subunit ribosomal RNA
Source: RNAcentral
UGGGGAAUAUUGGACAAUGGGCGCAAGCCUGAUCCAGCCAUGCCGCGUGAGUGAUGAAGGCCUUAGGGUUGUAAAGCUCUUUCACCGGAGAAGAUAAUGACGGUAUCCGGAGAAGAAGCCCCGGCUAACUUCGUGCCAGCAGCCGCGGUAAUACGAAGGGGGCUAGCGUUGUUCGGAAUUACUGGGCGUAAAGCGCACGUAGGCGGACUUUUAAGUCAGGGGUGAAAUCCCGGGGCUCAACCCCGGAACUGCCUUUGAUACUGGAAGUCUGGAGUAUGGAAGAGGUAAGUGGAAUUCCGAGUGUAGAGGUGAAAUUCGUAGAUAUUCGGAGGAACACCAGUGGCGAAGGCGGCUUACUGGUCCAUUACUGACGCUGAGGUGCGAAAGCGUGGGGAGCAAACA